Molecule: unclassified non-coding RNA, 1705 nt
Filed under: Homo sapiens (human)
Lineage: Eukaryota; Metazoa; Chordata; Mammalia; Primates; Hominidae
Description: MAPT antisense RNA 1 (ENSG00000282067.1)
Source: RNAcentral
GCGGCCGCCGAGUCCGUCCACAUCGCCAGGCCAGGUGAACCCUGCCUUUGCGAGCGUGCACAGUGGGAUCCGCGCACUGUUCUCAGGCACGGCGCUGUCGCGUCUCUGUGCCAGGCGUGCGCAGGGGGAAGGGCAACUAAAGUGACAGCGCGUGGACCCCUCCCCAUCUCCUCGAUUUCUCCCAGCCCCCAAAUGUCCCCUACGGGUUUCUGAAGGAGGAAAAGGGGAGGGGGCCGGCCCCCGCCUAAAAUCAGGGGCAGUGAAGGCCCUGUCGGAAUCACUGCUCGGGAGGUGCAGGGAGGGGCGUGCAGGGAGUCAUCUUUUCUAGAACCCGAUCCACGUCUUUCUUAGAGCUGAUGGCGAACAGCGGCAGGGACAGCGGAUUUCAGAUUCGGUUUCGGGGGUCGUUAUCGGACCCCUCCACACACACACACACACACACACACACACACACACACACACGCCCAUUGCGGCAAAAGGCUGCAGUCGAGAGUGAAGGGCAGCCCCCUCCCCCAAGUCACCGCCGCCGCGCCCCACCCUGCCGGCACAGCCUCCACCUGGGGUCUGCGCGAAUCUGGUGGUGAAGACCCUCCAGCACACACACACGCGCGCACUCACGCGUGCGUGCAUCCCUUGCUCAGGUCCCUUUCCAGGCCGCCCUGGCCCCAGCCCCCGAGCAGGGGAGGCAGGGAGGGGCCCUGCGGUGGCCCCGACCGAUGCCCGGCGCACGAAGCCCCAGUCUGCGGAGAGGGAGGGCGAGGGGCGGCGGCGCAGGGGUGCACAGAGGCGGACGGCGAGGCAGAUUUCGGAGCCGCGGCGCUUACCUGAUAGUCGACAGAGGCGAGGACGGGAGAGGACAGCGGAGGAGGAGAAGGUGGCUGUGGUGGCGGCGGCAGAAGGAGUCAGAACAAGGACGGGCCUGUGAUGUGUCUGUCUAUGACGAGGAGGACAAUGUCCUAAGGAAUGGAGAGGAAGAAAGUGAAGGGAACCAGGUCCCUGGAUUCCAUGUGGAACAGUAGCCCAGGAUGUGCACUAUGGACUGUUACAAGAGAGAGACAUGAUCUUCCUUAAGGCAUUGAUUUGUCAUGAGUCUCUUUGUUAUAGCCACUUAACGUUACCUUAAUACACCCACUUCAUGGAUAAGUAAAACUGAGGCUUGGAGAAGCCCACAUUGACACAGCAAAGAAGGCUGGGGCUCUUGUGCUGGUUAAAUGGACCUUGAUGUCUUCCAAAUGUUUUCAUGCUGGAUUCUGAGCCACUCUCCUGGCUGCAACUCUGAGGCCGGGCAGACUUUCCGCUGGAAAGAGAACUCAAAUACUGGUGAGAGGUGGAUUUGAAGCCAGGAGCCCCAGGUUUUGGCUCUGCAGGUUUGCACCCAGCUCUGUGGUGUAUGCCCUCACAGGUCACCCAGGACCUCCUGUCCAGGCUUCUUCAGGCCACCCAUGAUGGAGUAGAUUUGAGGAAUGAGGUUUUCAAAGCAGUUAGUGUGCGGGAGAGUAACCCUGGGGCCUCCGGAACCAGAAGGGAGGGAUUUGGGGGCUGGAGCUUGGCAGUCCAGGUUCCAUUGUCCUCAUGUUCUCCCCACUGGCCUGGCCUGUCACUCCAGUCUCUGCAUAGGUUGUCACAUGGCAUUCUCCCUGUGUGUCUCUGUGUCUCUUCUCUUCUUUAUAAAGACAUAGUUAUAAUGGAUUAGGGCCCACCCUAA